AGUCGAGCGGGAGGGGUAGCAAUACCCCAAGAGCGGCGCACGGGUGCGUAACGCGUAUGCAACCUGCCUUAUACAAAGGGAUAGCCCAUGGAAACGUGGAUUAAUAUCUUAUAGGACUUAAGAAUCGCAUGGUUUUUAAGUUAAAACUACGGUGGUAUAAGAUGGGCAUGCGUCUGAUUAGGUAGUUGGUAGGGUAACGGCCUACCAAGCCGACGAUCAGUAGGGGUUCUGAGAGGAUUACCCCCCACACUGGUACUGAGACACGGACCAGACUCCUACGGGAGGCAGCAGUGAGGAAUAUUGGUCAAUGGGCGAGAGCCUGAACCAGCCAUCCCGCGUGCAGGAUGACGGCCCUAUGGGUUGUAAACUGCUUUUCUGCUCCAAGAAACCUGGUUACGUGUAAUCAGUUGACGGUAGAGUAGGAAUAAGCAUCGGCUAACUCCGUGCCAGCAGCCGCGGUAAUACGGAGGAUGCAAGCGUUAUCCGGAUUCAUUGGGUUUAAAGGGUGCGCAGGUGGGAAUGUAAGUCAGUGGUGAAAUACUGCCGCUUAACGGUAGAGCUGCCAUUGAUACUGCGUUUCUUGAGUAUGGUUGAGGUAGGUGGAAUGUGUUGUGUAGCGGUGAAAUGCAUAGAUAUGACACAGAACGCCGAUUGCGAAGGCAACUUACUAAGCCAUUACUGACGCUGAGGCACGAAAGCGUGGGUAGCGAACAGGAUUAGAUACCCUGGUAGUCCACGCCGUANACGAUGUUCACUCGCUGUUUGCGAUACACAGUAAGCGGCUGAGCGAAAGCAUUAAGUGAACCACCUGGGGAGUACGAUCGCAAGGUUGAA
Molecule: ribosomal RNA, 834 nt
Filed under: uncultured bacterium
Lineage: Bacteria
Description: SSU rRNA
Rfam family: Bacterial small subunit ribosomal RNA
Source: RNAcentral